Molecule: ribosomal RNA, 1347 nt
Filed under: Leptolyngbya sp. KSU-AQIQ-6
Lineage: Bacteria; Bacillati; Cyanobacteriota; Cyanophyceae; Leptolyngbyales; Leptolyngbyaceae
Description: bacterial SSU rRNA
Rfam family: Bacterial small subunit ribosomal RNA
Source: RNAcentral
CGACGGUCUCUUCGGAGAUAGUGGCGGACGGGUGAGUAACGCGUGAGAACAUGCCUUUAGAUUGGGGACAACAGUUGGAAACGACUGCUAAUACCGAAUGUGCCUUAGGGUGAAAGAUUUAUUGUCUAGAGAUUGGCUCGCGUCAGAUUAGCUAGUUGGAGUGGUAACGGCACACCAAGGCGACGAUCUGUACUUGGUCUGAGAGGAUGACCAGGCACACUGGAACUGAGACACGGUCCAGACUCCUACGGGAGGCAGCAGUGGGGAAUUUUCCGCAAUGGGCGAAAGCCUGACGGAGCAAUACCGCGUGAGGGAGGACGGCUUUUGGGUUGUAAACCUCUUUUAUCAGGGAAGAAUCGAUGACGGUACCUGAUGAAUCAGCAUCGGCUAACUCCGUGCCAGCAGCCGCGGUAAUACGGAGGAUGCAAGCGUUAUCCGGAAUUAUUGGGCGUAAAGCGUCCGUAGGUGGUUUAUCAAGUCUGCUGUCAAAGCGUGCGGCUUAACCGCAUAAGGGCAGUGGAAACUGAUGAACUAGAGUGCGAUAGGGGUAACAGGAAUUCCCAGUGUAGCGGUGAAAUGCGUAGAUAUUGGGAAGAACACCAGCGGCGAAAGCGUGUUACUGGGUCUGCACUGACACUGAGGGACGAAAGCUAGGGGAGCGAAAGGGAUUAGAUACCCCUGUAGUCCUAGCCGUAAACGAUGACAACUAGGCGUGGUUCGUAUCGACCCGAGCCGUGCCGUAGCCAACGCGUUAAGUUGUCCGCCUGGGGAGUACGCACGCAAGUGUGAAACUCAAAGGAAUUGACGGGGGCCCGCACAAGCGGUGGAGUAUGUGGUUUAAUUCGAUGCAACGCGAAGAACCUUACCAAGGCUUGACAUCCUCGGAACCCUGAUGAAAGUUAGGGGUGCCUUCGGGAGCCGAGAGACAGGUGGUGCAUGGCUGUCGUCAGCUCGUGUCGUGAGAUGUUGGGUUAAGUCCCGCAACGAGCGCAACCCACGUUUUUAGUUGCCAGCAUUCAGUUGGGCACUCUAGAGAGACUGCCGGUGACAAACCGGAGGAAGGUGUGGAUGACGUCAAGUCAGCAUGCCCCAUACGCCUUGGGCUACACACGUACUACAAUGCGUCGGACAAAGAGCAGCCAGCCAGCGAUGGUGAGCCAAUCUCAUAAACCGACGCUCAGUUCAGAUUGCAGGCUGCAACUCGCCUGCAUGAAGGCGGAAUCGCUAGUAAUCGCAGGUCAGCAUACUGCGGUGAAUACGUUCCCGGGCCUUGUACACACCGCCCGUCACACCAUGGGAGUUGGUCACGCCCGAAGUCGUUACUCUAACUGCUGCAGAGGAGGACGC